Long non-coding RNA from Ictalurus furcatus (blue catfish), 1201 nucleotides. RefSeq lists it as uncharacterized. The transcript has 2 exons. Lineage: Eukaryota; Metazoa; Chordata; Actinopteri; Siluriformes; Ictaluridae. The record is from RefSeq and is a predicted model, not a curated record.
CCUUAUAAAAGUACACAUUACACUGUCAGUAGAUCAGACGAAAAAUUUACGCAGGCUUGCAUCCUGAAUUGCUUAAUGUGUCGUGUGAAUAUGCCAUGUGACCACACAGAAUCAGAUCAUAUAAAAGCACGAAUGUUUGCUUUAGUUCACACUGACGGGUCAUGAAUGACGGAGGGACUGAUAUCUUUUUAUAGCCAUUUACAAGAAGCCCAAGCUAAAGUUUAAUGGAGUACAGCAAAAGGAUGGAAAGGAAUGCAUGGCAAUUCUGAUUGAAUUUUUUAUUUUUUCAAUUUUUUUUUUUUUUUACAAAUUUAAAGUCUACAAAGUCCUUUUAACCCUAAAACAUCAAGACAUGUAACACCAGCCAAAUACUAGCGAAAUACUGCGUCGAAAGGCGGAAUAACACACUUGAACAUAAGCACUAUCCACCACACGAGCUCACACACCAAUAUACGAAUGCUUUCCUGAAGCUGGAGUGUGUAAAAUUGUUUUUCUUUUUUUUUUGGGGCUGUUUGCCAGAAUUCAGGCACAGCGACAGUGACGGAGUCGGAUGUGUUAACAGAUAAGCCUUUAUUUUCAUAUCAGCAUUGCAGGGGAUUUAAACAUGCUGAACCGUUGCGCAAUAAUUUAACUUAUCACCUCCAUGUCAGUUAUGAGUUACCACUUCCCCCCUUCGGAUCGCUAACACACAGACACAGAGCGGAUCACGUAAUCAGUUAUAACCUGAUGCAAGACACGGACCUCGUAAACAUACUUUCAGAGAUACGACAAUAGACGUAAUGGGAGAAAAAAUAAAUAAAUAAAUAAAGGCUCCUCUACAAUUAUGUCUUUUUAUUUAUGACGAUUCAAUCUUCUAACUAAAGUGGCACCUGUCGAGGGGUGGGGUGUAUUUAUGAGGGAGGAAGUGAUCCGUCAGUUCUCAAAGUCGAUGUGAUGGAAGCAGGAAAAAUGGGCGAGCGUAAGGAUCUGAGUGACUUUUACAAGGGCCGGAUUGUGAUGGUCAGACGACCGGGUCGGAGCGUCUACAAAACGGCAGGUCUUGUGGGGUGUUUCUGGUACGCAGUGGUGAGGACAUACGAACAGCGAUCCGAGGAAGGACAAGCGGUGAACCGGAGACAGAGACAGCGUCACUGAUGCACAGGUCGUGGGCAUCUACUUGUUUAAUGGAUGUUCCACAAUAUUAAAUGUAUCUAUAAACGGG